UGCCUGAGCCAGGCCCGAGGUGCCCAGACACGGGAGAAUCGGGAAGCCGGUGAGAGUCCGGCACAGGGCCCGCUGCGGUGACCCGGACACGCGAUCCGGGAAGUCCGAAGACCGGCCUCGGCGCCUGGGGACGA
Molecule: non-coding RNA, 134 nt
Filed under: Nostocoides japonicum
Lineage: Bacteria; Bacillati; Actinomycetota; Actinomycetes; Micrococcales; Intrasporangiaceae
Source: RNAcentral